RNAcentral lists this ribosomal RNA (113 nucleotides) under Clostridiales bacterium. The record is from RNAcentral. Lineage: Bacteria; Bacillati; Bacillota; Clostridia; Eubacteriales.
CCUGGUGACAAUGGCGGAGAGGCCACACCCGUUCCCAUCCCGAACACGGCAGUUAAGCUCUCCUGCGCCGAUGGUACUGCAGCUUCCUGUGGGAGAGUAGGUCGUCGCCAGGA